CAGGGGUUAAGGGAACAGAAAACUGCAAACAGAGUAAUAAAAUGCAGAGGCAGCCUAAGAGUUACACUAACAGAACCCAAAUAAAGGGGAAAUUUGGGGUAUAGAAGGACUUUUUGGUUGAUGUACUAAGAAAACCUGCUACAUGCUAGCUAUGGACCUUAUGUUUUUGAGACACGGCCACACGGGUCUGAUUUUUCUGGUCUGAUCUAAUAAGCAAUAAGAAUAUGUGCUGAGGAAAAUUUGAGGCGUAGGAGUGAAACUUGAAGUAUUAGGUACGCAUUAGCCUUGUCAAAGUUUGAAGGUCCGACACUGGUACUUAAGAUGAUAAAAAGAGUCGAAGACAUCAUUUCUUGCUUGUCAGUGUAUUGAAUUUGAUUAUUUUUCCUUUGUUUUUGUUUUCUGAGGGGAAGGGAACUGAUGAACCUUUGAACUAUAACGAUUAACGAGCUAAUAAGAAAGAUCACAGUUAAGGACUGAAAGGUACAUUGACAGAUCGAGAGGAAAACUAUGGUAUAUACAAGCAACAAUUAAUCAAUAACCAUGAUUCAGACAACAAGAUAAAGAGAUUUUAAAGGACGGACCAGAUUGAAUGCUCUAGCGACCACUACCAGCAACCCCAGAGGAUGAUUGAGGCGAG
Molecule: long non-coding RNA, 637 nt
Organism: Spinacia oleracea (spinach)
Lineage: Eukaryota; Viridiplantae; Streptophyta; Magnoliopsida; Caryophyllales; Amaranthaceae
Exons: 3
Source: RefSeq, a predicted model, not a curated record